This 497-nucleotide ribosomal RNA is filed under the name uncultured bacterium. RNAcentral describes it as "partial 16S ribosomal RNA". It matches the Rfam family "Bacterial small subunit ribosomal RNA", at positions 28 to 507 of the family's 1533-position model. The record is from RNAcentral.
GAUGAACGCUGGCGGCGUGCCUAAUACAUGCAAGUCGGGCGAACAGACGAGGAGCUUGCUCCUCUGACGUUAGCGGCGGACGGGUGAGUAACACGUGGAUAACCUACCUAUAAGACUGGGAUAACUUCGGGAAACCGGAGCUAAUACCGGAUAAUAUAUUGAACCGCAUGGUUCAAUAGUGAAAGACGGUUUUGCUGUCACUUAUAGAUGGAUCCGCGCCGCAUUAGCUAGUUGGUAAGGUAACGGCUUACCAAGGCAACGAUGCGUAGCCGACCUGAGAGAGUGAUCGGCCACACUGGAACUGAGACACGGUCCAGACUCCUACGGGAGGCAGCAGUAGGGAAUCUUCCGCAAUGGGCGAAAGCUUGACGGAGCAACGCCGCGUGAGUGAUGAAGGUCUUCGGAUCGUAAAACUCUGUUAUUAGGGAAGAACAAAUGUGUAAGUAACUAUGCACGUCUUGACGGUACCUAAUCAGAAAGCCACGGCUAACUACGUG